This 253-nucleotide ribosomal RNA is filed under the name uncultured bacterium. RNAcentral's name for it is "partial 16S ribosomal RNA". It matches the Rfam family "Bacterial small subunit ribosomal RNA", at positions 524 to 776 of the family's 1533-position model. The record is from RNAcentral.
UACGUAUGGAGCAAGCGUUAUCCGGAUUUACUGGGUGUAAAGGGAGCGCAGGCGGCUUUGCAAGUCUGAUGUGAAAGGCCGGGGCUCAACCCCGGGACUGCAUUGGAAACUGUAAAGCUAGAGUGCCGGAGGGGUAAGCGGAAUUCCUAGUGUAGCGGUGAAAUGCGUAGAUAUUAGGGGGAACACCAGUGGCGAAGGCGGCUUACUGGACGGUAACUGACGCUGAGGCUCGAAAGCGUGGGGAGCAAACAGG